This 275-nucleotide long non-coding RNA is filed under the name Solanum tuberosum (potato). RNAcentral describes it as "long non-coding RNA (STUB_LNC003999)". The record is from RNAcentral. Lineage: Eukaryota; Viridiplantae; Streptophyta; Magnoliopsida; Solanales; Solanaceae.
CAUACCAAAGGAAUUAAUUGUGAUGAGAAGGGGCAUGUUGGUUUUCAAAAGUGCAUAAUAUAUCCAAAGCAUGGAACUAAAGAGAGCAACCACAUAUGGAAUUGAUUGAUAACCUUCUGUUGAUUUUUUCUUGUAAAUGUUAUAGAACGUCGGUCUACAAAAGUACAUAGUAAAAUUAUAAUAAGCAAAAUAUAUAUACCCAAAAAAUUUCAAAAAGUAAAUUAGAUGGAGACUCACAUUGGAGAAAGGAACACAAUGAACGAGACAAUGUUGCC